UACGGAGGGUGCAAGCGUUGUCCGGAUUUAUUGGGUUUAAAGGGUGCGUAGGCGGCCCAUUAAGUCAGUGGUGAAAGCCCGGGGCUCAACCCCGGAACCGCCAUUGAUACUGGUGGGCUUGAGUAUGGACGAGGUUGGCGGAAUUGAGGGUGUAGCGGUGAAAUGCAUAGAUACCGUCCAGAACCCCAAUUGCGUAGGCAGCUGCCUAGGCUACAUCUGACACUGAGGCACGAAAGCGUGGGGAGCGAACAGG
RNAcentral lists this ribosomal RNA (253 nucleotides) under uncultured bacterium. Its description in RNAcentral is "partial 16S ribosomal RNA". It matches the Rfam family "Bacterial small subunit ribosomal RNA", at positions 524 to 776 of the family's 1533-position model. The record is from RNAcentral.